GACGAACGCUGGCGGCGUGCCUAAUACAUGCAAGUCGAACGCAGUGGGGACGGGUGAGUAACACGUGGGUAACCUCCCAUCAGAGGGGAUAACACUUGGAAACAGGUGCUAAACCGAUACUGAUGGAUGGACUCGCUGUGCAUUAGCUAGUUGGUGGGGUAACGGAUCACCAAGGCCACGAUGCAUAGCCGACCUGAGAGGGUGAGCGGCCAAACGGGGACUGAGACACGGCCCAGACUCAUACGGGAGGCAGCAGUAGGGAAUCUUCGGCAAGGGACGAAAGUCUGACCGAGCGACGCCGCGUGAGUGAAGAAGGUUUUCGGAUCGUAAAACUCUGUUGUUAGAGAAGCGGUAUCUAACCAGAAAGCCACGGCUAACUACGUGCCAGCAGCCGCGGUAAUUC
RNAcentral lists this ribosomal RNA (403 nucleotides) under uncultured bacterium. RNAcentral's name for it is "partial 16S ribosomal RNA". It matches the Rfam family "Bacterial small subunit ribosomal RNA", at positions 28 to 526 of the family's 1533-position model. The record is from RNAcentral.